This 817-nucleotide long non-coding RNA is filed under the name Sorghum bicolor (sorghum). Its description in RNAcentral is "long non-coding RNA (SBIC_LNC001943)". Lineage: Eukaryota; Viridiplantae; Streptophyta; Magnoliopsida; Poales; Poaceae. The record is from RNAcentral.
AAGAAUGGAGCCUAAGAAGUUUAGCUACUGUUUCCGCAUACUCUGAUGUUUGUAAGUGUUAAUAUAAAUAUGUUUUCCGCUAUAUAUAACAUUGUUUCUGAUAUUUCUAUUCUUUUGUUCUAUGUGUGGACUUCCUGGGAACACAUAUGACGAGUCUGGUCUCAUUUUUAAACCAGGGUGUGACAGGCUAGAUCGACAAUGGUGCACCCUCCUCCUCCCUCUCCGGUGGCUAGGUGCGUGGGACGGCCAGAUCCAUGGUGGCAUGCCCCCUCUCCUUCCCCUCUGGUGCCUAGGCAUAUGGGGGCGACUGGAUCCCUGGCGGCGCCCCCUCCUCCCUCUCCAGUAGCCAGACACACUAGGGGGUGUCCGGAUCCGCGACAACACACCCCCUUUCUCUCUGGUGGCCAGGCGCACAGGGGCGGCCAGAUCCACGGUGGCGCUGCCCCCUCUUCCCUCUCCGGCGGCCAGGCACACUGGGUGUGACCAGAUCCGUGGUGGAGUGGUCCCCUCCUCCCUCUCCGAUGGCCUGGCGUGUCGGGCCGACUGGAUCCGGCGGCGACUAAGUAUCCUCCUCCCUCUCCUUUGGCCUGGAGUGUGAGGGUUGGCCGAAUCUACGACGGUGGUGCAUGGGCACUGGCUCCGAGAUUGGGCUCACCGGUGGGCUUGCUAGUGGACUUUGUUUUUUAUUUUUUUUUGUAAUGAUUAACCGAGGCGGGCAUCCUAACGUGCCCCGCCUCGGUUAAUGGAUUUACCGUGGCAGGCAUAGGCGACCACCGCGAUGAGGCCAUGAUUAACCGUGACCUUAGAUCCACGGCGG